CUGAAGUCGCAAGACUGUUUGCCCCUUACAGAGCGAGGCCUUCCUCAGCGCCACUUUCAUCUCUGACCCCGCAAUCUUCCAAGAAAGCAUGCUGCUCCAUUUACACACACACCUUCUUCUGUUUACAUGACCAUGUCAGACACAGUGCCAGCUAAAGCAGUCAAAUUUGACCUAUCAGCAGCUGGACUUGGAGAGAAAUGGAUUUCAUUCCAAGGAAGGGAUGAUGACCCAGAAGUGGUCAAGGCGAAGAUUGAGGAUACCUUCCCUCAGCUAAAAGACACAGGAGGGUUUGAACCGCUGAGAAUCUCGGGUACAACACGAAGCCGUAACCUGCGCACAAUCCCAAGCCCAGACACUGGAUAUACAGUGCGAUAUCUCCGCAGUCCAUUGAGUGGAAUUGGACAAGCUUUGAUCUAUAUAAGGCCACUGCAGAAAAGUAUUGAUCUGGAAGACGUGAGUAAUGACUAGGGUCAGAAUAUGUUAUUUGCAUGUAUUAAUAAACUAGUUCAAAUGGCUAGCGAAGCUCAACUAUGUGUCAAAUCAGUUUAGCUGUCAGCUGGUUAGAAACAUGACUGCAUAUGAGUAAUAAUGGUUCUGAAUGUGUAUGUAAGCAACUGUUAGAAAAGGUUUAGAAGGAGAUAUGUCAUUUUGUGUUUACAAUUUGUUUCUGCUGCUCACAUGUUGACAAAUGCAAUUGCAGAACUGUCAAAAUAUUUUUUAUCACAGCAUGCACCAAUUGUGUGUGUGUGUGUGUAUAUAUAUAUAUAUAUAUAUAUAUGUAUAUUUUUAUUUUUUUCUCCAUAUUGUCUGUAAAGCCUGACAACCCUCCAGCAACAAGGACCCCCCACAAAAUGCCUGAAUUGUGACAUUAACAUUCCUUUAAAUAAAAUGAAAAACCACAUCACUAAAUGCACAAGUUCAUUGAGUGGUGCUGAACCUCAGUCUGUUACUGAAAGUCAGGCUAGGCAGACUCGUAGUGCAACAGCAAGGUCAGAGGUCCCAUCCUGUAGCAACAGUGAUGCCUGGAAUCUGUCCUGCGGGGUAGAGGAACCAGAUGGUAUCAUCUUGGACUCCACCAUAAAUUCAGCAAGAGCAGAGCAAUCGUCAGGUGAUAUGGUAGUGCAGGAAAAUGCAUCUCAUCAAGAUGACGAAAAGUCACUUCUAGGGGAAAAACCAGAGUGGAAAUGUGAACAAGAUGCAACCAGAGCAGCCUGGCUCUACAAGUCCGAGUUACUUUCAAAGUAUGAGACCAGAAAGGCAGUAGUCCUGCAAAUGGACUUGCGGGAAAGUAUUGUGGGUCAACAGAGGUCACUUAUCUCCCUCUACAAAGCCCCAAAGGUAGAGUGGGCGGGGCCUGUCAGCUGCAAACUGGAAGGGGAUGUUGCUGUUGGAGAAGGGGUGAAGAGAUUCUUCUUCUCAAAGGCAGUUUCUCUAGUACAGUCUGGUUUGCAUUUGAAUUUUGGGAACACAGAUCUUACAAGACUGUUUGACGGUGAGCCAGAACACUUGACUCCAUCCACUUCUCAGACCUUGCUUGAGAGUGACAUGUUUUUGGUGGCAGGUAAGAAAAUUAUGUACAGAAAUAAGACGAAGAGUAAUUUAAAAUAA
This 1608-nucleotide long non-coding RNA is filed under the name Oreochromis niloticus (Nile tilapia). RNAcentral describes it as "lncRNA (ENSONIG00000039805.1)". The record is from RNAcentral. Lineage: Eukaryota; Metazoa; Chordata; Actinopteri; Cichliformes; Cichlidae.